Molecule: unclassified non-coding RNA, 393 nt
Filed under: Hevea brasiliensis (rubber tree)
Lineage: Eukaryota; Viridiplantae; Streptophyta; Magnoliopsida; Malpighiales; Euphorbiaceae
Source: RNAcentral
GAAAUGAGUAAAAUAAAUAACAGGCAGUGCACAGGAAAAAAUUUGACUCUUGCAAUAUUGGAGAAUUUCCAAGAUUGUAGGGUUCUUAAUAGCAAGAACCUCAACAGUUCUCUUUUACAAUAAUAAAUGAAAAAAACUCACAGUUCUUCUCUUUCACACAGACUAGCUUACUUCCUGUCAAAGUAGUAAAUUCUGUGAACACACAUUGCUUAGGCAGGAAAUUAUUGAAAUAUUUUCCUAGUCAUACUUUUCCAUCUACCUAACCUAACCAGAGGUCCAAAAUUCAAGAUUUCAGCUAUACCUUUUACAUUUUUUUACAUUUUACCCUUUUCAUAUUCCUACCGGAACAUUAAUGGCUGCCAGAUAGUUGCCUCUAUUAGUAUUUCUAUUAUG